UUGUUUUUUUUUUCUUUGGGCUUAUGUUGCGGGUCGCGCUCCAGCCGACACUUUUACAGCUUUUGGCGUUGCGUUUUCAUGGGCGUCUGGACCGAAUAAAUCGACCUCUCUAUGCGCGCUGGCCACUCUCUAGUGCCGCCGGCCGUCCGAGAAUUUGUUCCUUGCGCAACAGAAAGAAAACAACAGACAAGUGUCGCUCUGGCCGUGCAUAGAUCUAUAAAUGCUGCUGCUGUACUACUAUGUAUAUAAAUAAAUAUUCACUAUCUACUAUGUGUGUGUGUGUGCGUAUAGCAGUCAUAGCAGGUUGUGUGUGCAGCAGCAUCCCCUUUUACGGCCGGCAGACUUGACAAUCUAUCCAUCGCGUUAUAAGACGAGAGCAGAAACCCCUUUUAGUUAUACCUAAAAGAAACAACCAGGAACUUGUGCCGAAGCUGAAGAAAAAGAGAGGAGACUACACACUUUUUUAUACAGAGAAGAUUCGUGACUUGGUGCCAUUCUAAUCACUUUAGAUUACCCAAACAGUUGCCUUUUUCUUUAUCUUUUUUCUUUCUCUCUACGCAACUAUUUCUUUCUUCUUCUUCUUCUUUUAGUUUGAAGAGAAAAAUAGAAAUUUCUUGGAGGUGUGGGUGAUUCCUCCCCCGGGAUUUGCCCACACAUAGUUGCGUGCAAUUCAUUUCCGAUAGGAGAAAAACAAACGGCACACGACACACACACACAUAGCGCCGGGCCUUUUGUAACAUUGGACAACAUUUUUUCGCAACGGCCAUAGGUAUGUUGUCAUGUUGUACGUAUACAAUCGAAAUAAAAGGAGAGAGUAGAAGAAAAAGCCCAUUCCUGGGUUGAGUUUGUGUUUUACCUUUUUCGAUGAGUUGUUCUUAUCUGCGUGUGUGCCGUUUAUUUUGGCCGACCAGUUGAUGCCGGACUGGAAAGGUGAGAGGUGAGAGGGACAGUCGAGCGGGACGGACCGCACGACCAACGACAACAACAACAACAACCUUCUUCCUUCCUUCUCUUCUUUUUUGGGGUUAGGGGGCGGUUCAGAGGGUCAACAGCCGCUGACACCGGCACGAGCACUUGCGGUUUUGUGUGUUGUUGUUGUUCUAUGUGUAAGACGCCGAAUUGCGCGCCGGUCGGUACAAAAAGACAAGAACUUGCAAGGGGGGGCCACGAACUUUUGUGGGUUUUUUGUUGUGUGUGUGUUGCAUUGGCCGCCCCUGAACGAACGAUGCACAAAAGCGUGUUGAUAACAGUUCCUCUUUCUUGUUUGUCUCUUGUCCUCCUCCAGAAAGGGGAAAAAUGACAAGAUCACAGACACACAACAACCAGGGAGAGCGAGCGAGAGAGAGAGAGACGCUAUCAGCAGUUGGAUCCUCCACGCCACCAGUCAGUCCCCCCCUCACCGGCAGCCAAAGAGUUUUGACUUGUUUCCCGCACCGAAAAAAAGUUUUUUUUUGUUUUUCCUUUUUUCUUCUUUUU
This is a long non-coding RNA of Daphnia pulex (common water flea), 1476 nucleotides long. RefSeq lists it as uncharacterized. Lineage: Eukaryota; Metazoa; Arthropoda; Branchiopoda; Diplostraca; Daphniidae. The record is from RefSeq and is a predicted model, not a curated record. The transcript is spliced from 2 exons.